UACGGAGGAUCCAAGCGUUAUCCGGAAUCAUUGGGUUUAAAGGGUCCGUAGGCGGGCCUGUAAGUCAGUGGUGAAAUCCGGCGGCUUAACCGUCGAACUGCCAUUGAUACUGCAGGCCUUUGAAUUAUUGGGAAGUAACUAGAAUAUGUAGUGUAGCGGUGAAAUGCUUAGAUAUUACAUGGAAUACCGAUUGCGAAGGCAGGUUACUAUCAAUACAUUGACGUGAUGGACGAAAGCGUGGGGGAGCGAACAGG
RNAcentral lists this ribosomal RNA (254 nucleotides) under uncultured bacterium. Its description in RNAcentral is "partial 16S ribosomal RNA". It matches the Rfam family "Bacterial small subunit ribosomal RNA", at positions 524 to 776 of the family's 1533-position model. The record is from RNAcentral.